UACGUAGGUGGCAAGCGUUAUCCGGAUUUAUUGGGCGUAAAGGGAACGCAGGCGGUCUUUUAAGUCUGAUGUGAAAGCCUUCGGCUUAACCGGAGUAGUGCAUUGGAAACUGGGAGACUUGAGUGCAGAAGAGGAGAGUGGAACUCCAUGUGUAGCGGUGAAAUGCGUAGGUAUAUGGAAGAACACCAGUGGCGAAAGCGGCUCUCUGGUCUGUAACUGACGCUGAGGUUCGAAAGCGUGGGUAGCAAACAGG
RNAcentral lists this ribosomal RNA (253 nucleotides) under uncultured bacterium. RNAcentral's name for it is "partial 16S ribosomal RNA". It matches the Rfam family "Bacterial small subunit ribosomal RNA", at positions 524 to 776 of the family's 1533-position model. The record is from RNAcentral.